Molecule: long non-coding RNA, 830 nt
Organism: Brassica oleracea var. oleracea
Lineage: Eukaryota; Viridiplantae; Streptophyta; Magnoliopsida; Brassicales; Brassicaceae
Exons: 4
Source: RefSeq, a predicted model, not a curated record
CUGACCUCUCUCAUCUCCUUCUCUCUCUCUUUGAAGCCUAAAAACCACACAUGUUUGGCACUGAGAUUCAUUGGAAUCAAAGCUGAAAUAGAGGAUCUUGCAACAGCUGUCUCUUCGGUAAGAGGAGGAGACGAUGAGCAGAGGAAAUCCACCAGAGCCACUUGAUUUCUUCAUCUGGACUGUUGAGAAUCAGUCUUGUUUAAUUCCAGACCCUAACUUUGAUCUGAAUGUUGGAUCAUGGCUUGAGGAGAUAAACCUUGGCAGCUACCGCCAGAUUUUCAAAGAAAACUAGUGUCAACGGAGAAUAUCUAGAAAGCAUGUCUGUGUUCACAACCGAACAGAUCCUUCACUUCAUUAGGAGGCAUCACAUGAAAUGGGGUGACUUCAUCACCCUCUGUAAAGAACUCCGAAGGAUCAAAGUGGCUUGCUUGAAAGGUGAGCAGAGAGUUCGACGGCCAUGGUGGGCACCGUCUUGCCUCUCAGUAGUGUUUUUGUUAAGGCGGCGGCUAAGCGCAACCGACAGUCUCGAGUUGUAUCUCUGAAACUUGAAUCUUGACAUUACACUUUGCAUGUUUAUGUACGUUCUUGUCUCUCUUCUCUUCAUUUUUUUUUUGGUUUGUGGAGAUAAAAGCCACGUAUGCACUAGGAAGGAAAGCCAAAAUGCUGUUUGGCUUUGGUAAAAUAUUGCAAGGGAGAAAGAAAAUUAUCGUUUGGUAGAACCCUCAAAAAUUCAUAGUUUAGCAACAAUAAGCAAUGGGCUGUGAGUUCUAAGAAUGUAUCUAGAUUCGGGAAAGAGAUGUUUUUUACUUAUGCAUGUAUGCUCGGUUGCU